This 301-nucleotide ribosomal RNA is filed under the name uncultured bacterium. Its description in RNAcentral is "partial 16S ribosomal RNA". It matches the Rfam family "Bacterial small subunit ribosomal RNA", at positions 509 to 807 of the family's 1533-position model. The record is from RNAcentral.
CAGUCGCCACGGGAAUACGAAGGGGGCUAGCGUUGCUCGGAAUGACUGGGCGUAAAGGGCGCGUAGGCGGCGGCCAAGGUCAGGCGUGAAAUUCCCGGGCUCAACCUGGGGGCUGCGUUUGAUACUUGGUUGCUUGAGUGGGGAAGAGGGUCGUGGAAUUCCCAGUGUAGAGGUGAAAUUCGUAGAUAUUGGGAAGAACACCGGUGGCGAAGGCGGCAACCUGGUCCUUGACUGACGCUGAGGCGCGAAAGCGUGGGGGGCAAACAGGAUUAGAUACCCCGGUAGUCCCUGUCUCUUAUAC